Suncus etruscus (white-toothed pygmy shrew) is the source of this 210-nucleotide small nucleolar RNA. RefSeq annotates it as small nucleolar RNA U3. NCBI's taxonomy places the organism in Eukaryota, Metazoa, Chordata, Mammalia, Eulipotyphla, Soricidae. The transcript has a single exon. The record is from RefSeq and is a predicted model, not a curated record.
AAGACUAUACUUUCAGGGAUCAUUUCUAUAGUAUGUUACUAGAGAAGUUUCUCUGUGUAGAGCACCCAAAACCACGAUGAGGAACCAGAGCAUCCUCUCCUGAGCGUGAAGCUGGCUCUAACUGUUGCUUCUGCAGCUGCCUUUUGCCAUUGAUGAUCGUUCUUCCCUUCCUUUGGAAAGGGUAGAGGGAGAGGAUGCAGUCUGAGUGGU